CGUGAGGGAAAGGUGAAAAGAACCCCGGGAGGGGAGUGAAAUAGAACCUGAAACCAUAUGCUUACAAGAAGUUAGAGCCCGUUAAAGGGUGAUAGCGUGCCUUUUGUAGAAUGAACCGGCGAGUUACGAUAUGGAGCGAGGUUAAGCAGGAUAUGCGGAGCCGAAGCGAAAGCGAGUCUUAACAGGGCGAAAGUUGCAUGUCGUAGACCCGAAACCGAGUGAUCUAGCCAUGACCAGGUUGAAGUUGGGGUAAAACCCGAUGGAGGACCGAACCGACCCCCGUUGAAACGUUGGCGGAUGAGUUGUGGCUAGGGGUGAAAUUCCAAUCGAACUCGGAGAUAGCUGGUUCUCCCCGAAAUAGCUUUAGGGCUAGCGUCGAGGUAAAGUCGUGUGAAGGUAGAGCACUGAAUAUGUGAUGGCCCCAUCUCGGGGUACUGAACAUAAUCAAACUCCGAAUGUCACAAAGAUAUACUCGGCAGUCAGACAGUGGGUGAUAAGGUCCAUUGUCAAAAGGGAAACAGCCCAGACCAUCAGCUAAGGUCCCAAAAUAUAUACUAAGUGGAAAAGGAUGUGGAGAUGUCCAGACAACUAGGAGGUUGGCUCAGAAGCAGCCAUCCUUUAAAGAGUGCGUAACAGCUCACUAGUCGAAUGACUCUGCGCCGAUAAUUUACCGGGGCUAAGUAUAUUACCGAAGCUAUGGAUUUACGCGUAAGCGUGAGUGGUAGGGGAGCGUUCUAUGUGCGGAGAAGCGGUACCGUAAGGAGCCGUGGAGCGCAUAGAAGAGAGAAUGCCGGUGUGAGUAGCGAAACGUGGGUGAGAAUCCCACGCACCGAAAACCCAAGGUUUCCAGAGGAAGGUUCGUCCGCUCUGGGUAAGUCGGGACCUAAGGCGAGGCCGAGAGGCGUAGUCGAUGGACAACAGGUAGAGAUUCCUGUACUUACGGUAUGAAUGAUGGAGUGACGGAGAAGGCUAGCGGAUCCUGCUGAUGGAAAUGCAGGUGCAAGCGAGGUAGCCGACAGCCAGGCAAAUCCGGCUGUCGAAAGGCAAAGGCGUGAGGCGUAUGGAAAGCUGCGGCAAGUACAGAAGUCCGUGAAGCCAGCUUCCAAGAAAAGCUUCUAGUGAUAAUCAUACAGUAACCCGUACCGAAAAUGGACACACAUGGGUGAGGAGAGAAUCCUAAGGUGAGCGAGAGAACUAUAGCUAAGGAACUCUGCAAAAUGACUCCGUAACUUAGGGAUAAGGAGUGCUCAUAGAGAUAUGAGCCGCAGUGAAACGGCCCAAGCGACUGUUUACCAAAAACACAGCUCUAUGCUAAGUCGAAAGACGACGUAUAUGGGGUGACGCCUGCCCGGUGCUGGAAGGUUAAGAGGAUGUGUCAGCGCAAGCGAAGCAUUGAAUUGAAGCCCCAGUAAACGGCGGCCGUAACUAUAACGGUCCUAAGGUAGCGAAAUUCCUUGUCAGGUAAGUUCUGACCCGCACGAAAGGCGUAACGAUUUGGGCGCUGUCUCAGCUGUAGACUCGGUGAAGUCUUAGUACCUGUGAAGAUGCAGGUUACCCGCGACUAGACGGAAAGACCCCAUGGAGCUUUACUGUAGCUUGAUAUUGGACUUUGAUGCAAGAUGUACAGGAUAGGUAGGAGACUGAGAGACAUGCACGCCAGUGUGUGAGGAGUCAAUGUUGGGAUACUACUCUUCUUGUAUUGGAGUUCUAACCGGAUGCCAUGGAACUGGCAACGGGACAGUGUCAGGUGGGCAGUUUGACUGGGGCGGUCGCCUCCCAAAGAGUAACGGAGGCGCCCAAAGAUACCCUCAGCUUGGAUGGAAAUCAAGCGCAGAGUGCAAAGGCAUAAGGGUGUUUGACUGCGAGACCUACAAGUCGAGCAGGGACGAAAGUCGGGCUUAGUGAUCCGGCGGUGCUGAAUGGAAAGGCCGUCGCUCAACGGAUAAAAGCUACCCUGGGGAUAACAGGCUGAUCUCCCCCAAGAGUCCACAUCGACGGGGAGGUU
This 2005-nucleotide ribosomal RNA is filed under the name human gut metagenome. Its description in RNAcentral is "bacterial LSU rRNA". It matches the Rfam family "Bacterial large subunit ribosomal RNA", at positions 502 to 2518 of the family's 2925-position model. The record is from RNAcentral.